CCUACGGGUGGCUGCAGUGGGGAAUAUUGGACAAUGGGGGGAACCCUGAUCCAGCGACGCCGCGUGAGUGAAGAAGUACUUCGGUAUGUAAAGUUCUAUCAGCAGGGAAGAAAGAAAUGACGGUAACUGACUAAGAAGCCGCGGCUAACUACGUGCCAGCCGCCGCGGUAAUACGUAGGGGGCAAGCGUUAUCCGGAUUUACUGGGUGUAAAGGGCGCGUAGACGGUGAGUUAAGUCUGAGGUGAAAGCGGGGGGCGCAAGCGCCGGAAUGCUCUGGAUACACUGAGACUGGAGUGCAGGAGAGGUGAGCAGAAUUCCUGGUGUAGCGGUGAAAUGCGUAGAGAUCAGGAGGAACACCAGUGGCGAAGGCGGCUCACUGGACUGUGACUGACGUUGAGGCGCGAAAGCGUGGGGAGCAAACAGGAUUAGAUACCCGAGUAGUC
This 443-nucleotide ribosomal RNA is filed under the name uncultured bacterium. Its description in RNAcentral is "partial 16S ribosomal RNA". It matches the Rfam family "Bacterial small subunit ribosomal RNA", at positions 338 to 795 of the family's 1533-position model. The record is from RNAcentral.